ACGCUCGACACCUACAGGAGGCAGCAGUGGGGAAUAUUGCACAAUGGGGGAAAUCCUGAUGCAGCGACGCCGCGUGAGCGAAGAAGUAUUUCGGUAUGUAAAGCUCUAUCAGCAGGGAAGAAACUGACGGUACCUGACUAAGAAGCACCGGCUAAAUACGUGCAAGCAGCCGCGGUAAUCUGAGCGGGCUGGCAAGGC
This 198-nucleotide ribosomal RNA is filed under the name uncultured bacterium. Its description in RNAcentral is "partial 16S ribosomal RNA". It matches the Rfam family "Bacterial small subunit ribosomal RNA", at positions 328 to 539 of the family's 1533-position model. The record is from RNAcentral.